Pistacia vera is the source of this 1381-nucleotide RNA transcript. It is a transcript of the gene named bidirectional sugar transporter SWEET3, with no coding region annotated. Lineage: Eukaryota; Viridiplantae; Streptophyta; Magnoliopsida; Sapindales; Anacardiaceae. The transcript has 7 exons. The record is from RefSeq and is a predicted model, not a curated record.
GUAACAAAGCUCCAUGCUAUAGCAAACUGAUUUCCUCCACAAGUUUAUAAAGAUGUAGACAACACUUCUGCUUCUUUCAAUUUUCUAUUAUUCUCUUUUUACCCAUCUUCCCGUUAUUUAUAUCCCCUAAAGCGUGUUAAACAGUCCAUGCAACAUUCUUAUAAAGUCAUUUAGUAACUCUUCUUGUUGGGACCAUCUCUCCAUCUUAGGACCAUCUUUACAGGGCAAAAACAUGGGAGAUAGAUUGCGCCUGGCAGUAGGAGUCAUGGGCAAUGCAGCUUCUUUGUUACUUUAUGCUGCACCCAUAUUAACAUUUUCAAGGGUGAUAAGGAAGAAAGGCACGGAGGGAUUUUCAUGCAUUCCUUACAUCAUUGCACUGCUAAACUGUCUGCUUUAUACUUGGUAUGGACUACCUAUUGUAAGCUACAGGUGGGAGAAUUUCCCUGUGGUCACUAUCAACGGUUUAGGGAUCCUUCUCGAGUUUUCCUUCAUUCUGAUAUAUAUUUGGUUUGCUUCAGGAAGAGACAAGAUGAAGGUUGCUGCUACGUUGAUACCUGUUAUCCUAGUGUUCAGCAUCACUGCAAUUAUAUCAGGCUUUCUAUUCCAUGACCACCAUCAUCGCAAGGUGUUUGUGGGCAGUGUUGCACUGGUGGCCUCUGUGGCAAUGUAUGGUUCUCCACUGGUGGUUGUGAAGCAAGUUAUACAAACAAAGAGCAUAGAAUUCAUGCCUUUCUAUUUGUCUUUUUUCUCAUUCAUUGCUAGCUCACUUUGGAUGGCCUAUGGACUGCUGAGCCACGAUCUAUUUCUUGCGUCCCCUAAUCUGGUCGGUAGCCCCUUAGGCAUCCUGCAACUUGUUCUUUAUUGCAAGUACAGGAAAAGGGGAAUUAUAGAAGAACCAAAUAAAUGGGAUUUAGAACAAAAUGAAGAGAAAUCCAAACAGUUGCAGCUUGUGAUCAACAAUGAUGCUAAUGGCAAGAGUUGAAGAAUUCAAUUAAAAGAUCUGAGAAGGUUCCUCCCGGUGUCUUUAUGGAUAUUGAGAAAUGAUUAAUUAUUCCUAAUGAAGUCAAUGUUCUAUAUAGAGGACUGACUUCAAUUCUUGGGGCAACAAAUUUCCAGUAAGAGGACAGUUACAGCUAAUGUUGUUAACAUGGCUCUUUCGUUCAAGAAAUUCUGCUAAUAUUUAAAGCAUGGUAACUAAGCAAUGCCAUAAAAUAAUAAAAAGUUACUUGUAAUAGCAGGUCUCACUUCCAUGUGAUGUGCUAUCUAAAAACAGCAUGAACAUAGGAUAGUAUACUUCAAACUUGAUUUUCCAUUCUCUCAAAAUGAAAAAGAAAAUGAUCCACUUCCCUUAAAUCGAAGCCAAAGUUGGAGCAAUAACAUU